This 424-nucleotide unclassified non-coding RNA is filed under the name Hevea brasiliensis (rubber tree). Lineage: Eukaryota; Viridiplantae; Streptophyta; Magnoliopsida; Malpighiales; Euphorbiaceae. The record is from RNAcentral.
GGAACAAAUAGGAAGAUUGGAAAAGGACAUUUGCACAACAAAAAAUUAGGAACAACGAAAACCGCUUUCUAAAACUGAAGGCCGUGUUCUCGUGCAGCAUCUGCAAGAGCUUCUAUCCUUCCGUGGUAAGGAUAACCUCCGCGAUCAAAGGCUACUUUCGUGAUCCCUUUCUCUAGACACGCCUUAGCUAUGACUUCCCCUACUUUCUUUGCCACUUCUGCAGUGGGACCAGCAGAGUAGUCGAAUUCCUCAGAGAUUGGUUUCUGCAUCGUUGAAGCUGAAGCCAGUGUGUGCAUCUUGGAGUCAUCAAUAACUUGAACAUAAAUAUGCUUGUUGGAACGGAAGACACACAUUCUUGGUCUUUCAGGUGUCCCUUCAACCUUCUUGCGAAUACGAAUAUGUCGAGCAGUUCUGUCCUCCCUUC